This is a long non-coding RNA of Trifolium pratense (red clover), 808 nucleotides long. RefSeq lists it as uncharacterized. The transcript is spliced from 3 exons. The record is from RefSeq and is a predicted model, not a curated record. NCBI's taxonomy places the organism in Eukaryota, Viridiplantae, Streptophyta, Magnoliopsida, Fabales, Fabaceae.
UCAUAAUAUGAACAACUAAUCUGCAUUUUGAGUUUUUGACUACAUUUUAGGCCAAAAGAGAUAAAGAAACUGGCCUUUAAGUUCGUUUAAAAGUCCAAAAGAGCAAGAUCUAAAGAAGCAUAGAUGGUGGAAAAAUCUUAUAAAUGUCUUCUUGAAUACAUUUAGAUCAAAUGAUGACCUGAUCUAAUGUUGCGUCAGUGCGAGCAUGAAUAUCGUCUAACACUGCGUCAUGUUCAAGACAAAGGUCCAGUUCAUCCAGUCGGAAGCUCUUCGCCUUAAAAAAUUCUAUUUGUAUCAUAAUGGUUUUGUUAGAUUAGGUAGACAUAAUAACCAAUAGAGUAACAUUUGGGACUUAAGUGAGAUUUGUGAUCACAGUGGUUUGUUUUUUAGUAAGUGACUAUUUAUGGUUGUGUCACAUGAUAUAACAAUGAAGUCAUUAUGAGAAGAAAUUUGACUUGGUGCUGAGAUCAUAUGCGACUAUCAUGGAUGCAGGUACUUUUUGGUUUAUUUUGUCAAAGAGCCUUCUUGUUUGGAGUGUCUCCAUCACAUGAUACAAUAAUGAUAAACUUUCUGUUGGAUGAAAGGAAGCUAGGAGGUGUGGGAGUCUCUUAGACCAUAAUUAUCGCCUGCAAUUCCAUAGUUCCUACAGGUUUUCCAAGUUGCUUGUGUCAGGGCAAACAGAUAUUUCAUAUUUAAUGGACGUGCUUUAUAUUGAAUUGUUGGCACGCAGAAGCACGUCCUUUAGCAUUUGCUGGAUCAUUCAAUUACAGUAACAAAUUACCAACUAUACUAUAAAGAAAGAUUGCAA